Non-coding RNA from Dorea sp. 42_8, 105 nucleotides. Lineage: Bacteria; Bacillati; Bacillota; Clostridia; Lachnospirales; Lachnospiraceae. The record is from Rfam.
GAGACGGUAUCUGUCCCUGACAGAACCAUACUCAGAACUGAAGCACUGGAAUCUCAUAAUUUUCAACAAAAAUGAGCUUAUAUUUUCAGGAAAUAAGACUCAGGA